GCGGAAGUCUGUAGAGUGGGCGUGGUUAAAGGUCUGACGAGCGAACAAACUGGUACUCCGAGUGAGAAUAGGCAAAUUGGACUGAAAGUCUGAAGUACUGAUGGCCUAUUCCCGGAAGGAGCUGUAAGUCUGCACCGUGUGAAAUCCUGUGGUGCAAACCUGGAUAUAGAAGACAGAAGUUAGGGUCUAGCGGGACCUGAAAACUAACCUCAUCAGAUUCUGCGCGAGGCAUCCUGAGAGAGUCAGCAGACAGCCGCUUAGCGGGAGAAUCGCAUUUGCUGGCCCUGGAACCUCCCAGGUCAGAGGAGCUGGGGGACUGGAAAACAAGGGUCAUGAUUGAAGGCGAUACUUGUCGGACCCGUAGAAUGACAGAGAAAAACUGAGUCGAGUCUACAUAAGCUGGAAAGAGUGAGUCAGAUGGCCACCUAAAGGCUGGCGGGUUACCUUGUCCUGAUUCUCUCUUGAUCCCCGAAAACUCUCCUCAGACACAGUUUCCUGGCUGCCGGCCUGUGAGACUCAGCAGCACAGCAUAGGGAACUUGAGCCUGGGGGCCCUGGAUCCUACAAAGCUGCUUCGCCAGGGGAAAGGACCAGGGUGCAAUCAGUUUUCUCUGCUGUUUAUGAAGAAGCAGACAUUGAAACUCUGCUGUGGAUGUCUUACUGAUGAAUUUUAGAUGACUUAAACUAGACUAGUCCCAAUUAUAUUUUUUUUUCAUCAAUCUUGUGGGUGCCAAAAUGUUCUUCUUAAAAUGCUAGGAAGAUUGUGACCUCUAAGGGGAUAGGAACUCCACAAGAAGACCAACAAAAUCAUCUAACUUGGAAGCUUGGUGCUCUCAGAGACUGAACCACCAACCAAAGAACUUAGACUGUCUGGAUCUAAGUCUCCCUGGUCAUAUGUGCACAUAUGAAGCUUUGUCUUAAUCUGGGUCCCGACCAACUGGAGCAGGGCCUAUGUCAAAAGCUGUUGCCUACAUGUGGAAUAUGUUCAGUGCUGGGGGACCGGGGGAUACCCAGAGGGGCCCCACUCACUCAGAGUAGAAAGGGGGGAAUGGGAAAAGGAUUGUGGGAGUGGGUGGGUGACCCAGAGGAGGGCAGUUAGUAAUGUGUAAAGUGAGUAAGGAAAAAAACUAUUAUAUUUGUUAAGGUGAAAAGGACAAAACUGUUGAAAUUUACAUUUUUUUCACAUUAACUCCCCUGUAAUACCCGGGGACUUACUUGGUAAUUGAGCAUCCCAGGAGAGCUUUUAGAUAGUAGUCAUGAAAGGAGUGGCUGCAAAUGUAAGGGAGUCCAAAAGUGUGCACUAGCACAACUGUCCACACUCUUUUAUUUUGUGGUCAUUUGACAGUGUGAACUUGUUCCAGAAGAAGGGGCAAUGCCUGGACCCUGCUCAGAAGGUUUUGUACAGAGACUGCAUGUCACAGAAUUAAAGCGGUCAGAUUUCAGUGAGUGAGGAUACUUUGUUUGCUAUCUCCCUCUGUCCACCUCAGGGUCCUGGGAAAACAACUGUUAUCUAUGUUCCUGUGUAACUGCGUCUUGUAUCUCACAGAAUGAAGUGAAAUCCUCGGAGGAAUGACAAAAAUUUUCAUAAAAUAUUCAAACGUCUUGUGAAUCUCUUUGAGAGGUAUAAGGCUUCUAGUAUGUUUGAUCCAUGAUAAAUUCAGAACCUCACUACUGUAUAGUGCUGUCAUCCCAAUCAUUCAGUUUGGUUUGUCCCCGUCAGUUUUUUACUAACCUGUGAUUGGGUAUGGGCUUCCAGUUAAGGCUAAAUGAAAAUGAAUUCAAAGUAUCUUCAGUAUUGGAGGAUCACUUUUGAAUCCUCUCUAUCUCCUGAGCACUACUGUGUUAGCCAUCCAGAUGCUUUCUGAUGAAUCUCAUGCACAUGUGCAGGGCUCACUGAUCACCCAGACCUGCUCACCUGUGGAGCAAAACAGAAACCUGGAAGGUGGAGAGGGAGGAGACAGUAGCUAAGGAUCCAGAUUCAAUUUUACAUAUAGAGCGAAACAAAAUUCAAGAUCCCAGGACCUGGGAAGCUGGAGACCUACUGGAAGCAGACUAACUCCCUCUCUAAGAAGGAAUGGUUCCCCAAAUUUUCAUGGCUGUUCCUAACAACAGAAAGAAGCAAGCCAGCUAUUUAUCCUUAUUGAAAGAUAAAGAAGAGAAACAACGGGAAAUGCCUGAUUCUCCAGGAAAUAUGUCCCAGGGUCAGUUGACAUUCUGGGAUGUGGCUGUGGACUUCUCCCAGGAGGAGUGGGAAUGCCUGGACUCUGCCCAGAGGGCUUUGUACAUGGAUGUGAUGUUGGAGAAUUAUACCAACCUCAUCUCUGUGGAGAACUGCAUAAAUGAUAGUCUCCAGGAAAACCUAAAGGCUAAAAAAGAGUCUUGUCAGUGUAAUGAGCUUGGCAAAGUGCUUCAUGAACCCUCCCACUGUGCAUGUUAUAAAACAAGUAAAACCACAGAAAACUCUAAUAACUACAGAUACAGUAAUGACAGAGAUGCCUCUGUUGAUUCAUCAAACCCAGAUAGACUUAAAAGCAUGCACAAUGGAGGAGUGUCUUGCAAAUCUGAAGACUGUAAGAAAUCUUUAAAUAUGUGGCCCAUCAUUACUCAAGAACAGAGACUCUACACAUCAAAGAAAGAGCACAGACAAGAAGAAUAUGGUGACAUUUUUGGUUCAACGUGUAGUCUUUUAAAACAAGCAGUCUACAUUGUAGAGAAACCAAAACAAUGUGUGGAAUGUGGGAAACACUUCAGUGCUGCCUCAAGCCUCACUGUACACAAGAGAAUUCACACUGGAAAGAAAAACUACAAAUGCAAUAUUUGUGACAAGUCCUUUACCCAGUGCAUACAUCUUAAAAUACAUCAAAGGCGUCAUACUGGGGAGAAACCUUACAAAUGUAAGGAUUGCGACAAAUCCUUUACUGUGAAGUCAACUCUCACAAAACAUCAGCGAAUUCAUACUGGACAGAAACCCUAUAAGUGCAAUAUUUGUGACAAAUCCUUUACCCAGUGCUCAAGUCUUAAAACACAUCAAAGACUUCAUACUGGUGAGAAACCUUACAAAUGCAAAGAAUGUGGAAAGACAUUUCCCCAGCUAUCAGCCUUUAAAAGUCAUCAGAAAAUGCAUACUGACAAAAGACAUUCUGGAGAAAAGCUUUACAAAUGCCAUUAAUGUGACAACCUGUAGACACUGUCCAUCAUUUAGAAGGCAUCAGAAAAUUCAUUCUUUAGAAAAGUUAAACAAAUGCAAAGAAUGUGGUAAGUCCUUUUCUUGAAUUAUCACAUCUUAAAACACAUUCCAGAAUCCAUACUGCUGAGAAGCCUUACAAAUGUGAAGUAUGUAACCAAUACUUUACAAGAGACUCGACUCUUUGGACAUAUCAAAAAAUUCAUACUGGAGAGAAACCUUACAGAUGUAUAGAAUGUGACAAAGCCUUUACCCAGGAUUCACAUCUUAGAAGACAUCAUAGAGUUCAAACUGGAGAGAAAUCUUUUGUAUGCAAGGAAUAUAAUAAAUCAUUUUCUAAGUGCUCACCUCUUAGAAAACAUCAGACAAUUCAUUCUGGAGAAAAAAGUUACAAAUGCAAAGACUAUGACAAAUCCUUUACCCAGUAUUCAAAUUUGAGAAAACAUCGGAGAGUUCAAACUGAAGUAAGGCAUCACUUCUGUAAGGAAUGUGGCAAAUUCUUUACUAGGAGCUCAUAUCUUAGAAUAUAUCAGAAAAUUCAUACUGGAGAGAAACCUUACAAAUGCAAAGACUGUGGCAAAUUUUUAUCCAGCUUUCAAAUCUUAGAACACAUUGCAGAGUUCAUACUAAAGAGAGAUCUUGCAUAUGUAAGGAAUGUGGUUAACCUUUUACUAAUUACUCAACUCAUUGAGUCCAACAGAAAAUUACUACUGGAGAGAAUAAUACUGUUUUAAAUAAUAUGACAUAACAUUUAUUUUGUAUUCUUUGCUUACAAAUCACAAUAGUAUACAUAAUGUAAACCUAAGGAAUUUGUGAAAGCGUUUCAAAAAGUUUUAAAUGUUAGAAGAAUAUAAUAGAGUUUAUAUUAAAUAAAAUUCUGCAAAUGUAACUGUAUGAAAAA
Molecule: non-coding RNA, 4084 nt
Organism: Rattus norvegicus (Norway rat)
Lineage: Eukaryota; Metazoa; Chordata; Mammalia; Rodentia; Muridae
Source: RefSeq, a predicted model, not a curated record